This 352-nucleotide unclassified non-coding RNA is filed under the name soil metagenome. RNAcentral's name for it is "partial contains 5.8S ribosomal RNA, internal transcribed spacer 2, and large subunit ribosomal RNA". The stretch from base 1 to 120 matches the Rfam family "5.8S ribosomal RNA", at positions 35 to 154 of the family's 154-position model. The record is from RNAcentral.
GAUGAAGAACGCAGCGAAAUGCGAUAAGUAAUGUGAAUUGCAGAAUUCAGUGAAUCAUCGAAUCUUUGAACGCACAUUGCGCCCGCCAGUAUUCUGGCGAGCAUGCCUGUUCGAGCGUCAUUACAACCCUCAGGCCCCCGGGCCUGGCGUUGGGGAUCGGCGGAAGCCCCCUGUGGGCACACGCCGUCCCUCAAAUACAGUGGCGGUCCCGCCGCAGCUUCCAUUGCGUAGUAGCUAACACCUCGCAACUGGAGAGCGGCGCGGCCAUGCCGUAAAACACCCAACUUCUGAAUGUUGACCUCGAAUCAGGUAGGAAUACCCGCUGAACUUAAGCAUAUCAAUAAGCGGAGGA